This 445-nucleotide ribosomal RNA is filed under the name uncultured bacterium. Its description in RNAcentral is "bacterial SSU rRNA". It matches the Rfam family "Bacterial small subunit ribosomal RNA", at positions 945 to 1385 of the family's 1533-position model. The record is from RNAcentral.
UUUGCUCCGAUGCUCUAGAUUACGCGAAGACCUUACCAAGGCUUGACAUAUAGAGGAAAAGUGCAGAAAUGUACUCCCCGUAAGGUCUCUAUACAGGUGGUGCAUGGUUGUCGUCAGCUCGUGUCGUGAGAUGUUGGGUUAAGUCCCGCAACGAGCGCAACCCUCGUCCUAUGUUGCCAGCACGUUAUGGUGGGAACUCAUGGGAUACUGCCGGGGUCAACUCGGAGGAAGGUGGGGAUGACGUCAAAUCAUCAUGCCCCUUAUGUCUUGGGCUUCACGCAUGCUACAAUGGCCGGUACAGAGGGCUGCAAUACCGCAAGGUGGAGCGAAUCCCAAAAAGCCGGUCUCAGUUCGGAUUGAGGUCUGCAACUCGACCUCAUGAAGUCGGAGUCGCUAGUAAUCGUAGAUCAGCAACGCUACGGUGAAUACGUUCCCGGGUCUUGUA